GUACGUCAUCAACAGGUGCGCGCAACACUUCCCGAUGCGGCUUUUUUAUGUCAAAACACCUCGAUUCGAUCACAACAGAAACACCUGAGAUAUUCUGUUUAUCAGAAUUAAAUUAUGAAGCUAAACACUUGGGGUUCAGCAGUAUGAUAUCCGUAGACAGAUGAACAUAAACUGUAUAUAGUAAUUCAUGCAUUUCUCGGGAAUGAAAUGACACGUCAAAACAUCAGAAUUGUAGAAAGAACAAUACCGCUUGUUGUGGAUGUUUGUGAAAAAGUCAGAAAUGAAGACCACAAAACUAGUCGUUGUUUGAGGUUCACUCACUGGCAAUAUGUGCAGACACCGUUUAAAACAGCUCACUGUUACGUGUGACCACUACCGUACAGCUUUUGUAGACGGAAUUUAAUGUGAUUUUGCGUGACUUCAAACAAUUGUGAUCUUUUUAUUGAAACAUGUUUUGUUUUGUCUGUCUGUGUUGAAGUCACAGAGUCUUGUCAGUGCCUCUCCUUUCUUCUUAAUAACAUUUGGCAGAUUUUGAUGAAAGGCAACAUCAGUAUUAAACUUUGUAUGAAAUGUAGUCGAUACUAAUGCUCAUAACGGGUAAAACACAACAAUGUAAAUAUUCUUGUUAUCGCUAUGUUUCGGUCAAUAAACGUUUACAGAUUUUA
Mercenaria mercenaria is the source of this 665-nucleotide long non-coding RNA. RefSeq lists it as uncharacterized. The record is from RefSeq and is a predicted model, not a curated record. The transcript is spliced from 2 exons. NCBI's taxonomy places the organism in Eukaryota, Metazoa, Mollusca, Bivalvia, Venerida, Veneridae.